Bombus terrestris (buff-tailed bumblebee) is the source of this 1452-nucleotide long non-coding RNA. RefSeq lists it as uncharacterized. The record is from RefSeq and is a predicted model, not a curated record. The transcript is spliced from 3 exons. Lineage: Eukaryota; Metazoa; Arthropoda; Insecta; Hymenoptera; Apidae.
GUAAGAUGCAAUAAACUUCUUACAACUAGCUGUGGUGAGGAAAAAUGGAAGGUAAAAAAUAAACGGGGCUAUUCCAAAUUUAUGCUAGAAAUAGGUACGUACACAUAUUGGAGCAUCAGCUGUGUGACAAGCGUGGACUGACACGAACUGAAUUUCCCACGUGGCCGUCAGACUCCGGUGCAAUUUUAUCACCAUUCAUCGUAAGCAGAAGAAACACUCUAUGGAGCCACGAUCAUAGCCAUAAAUCAUCAUAGAGGUCAAAGUACGAGUAAGUCAAAGAUUUUACCGAAAGUUAUCCGAUGGAAAGAACCGAAGCCCGAUCACGAGGUUCCAAGAGCGAUGAAAGAACGAUGUCAGGCUAAGGAAAUCGAAACACGCGGUGGCCUGUCCGCUCGCCGUCGAAACAGCAUCCGCUUUUCAAUUCAGCGCCCGUCGUCGGUCGUGCUUGCAUACAAACGCUCGCAUUUGACCGCGUAGCUCGCGGCGCUGCUUCAUACCGUAGCAGCCGGCUUAGAACGCGGCCGCACGAUAGAAAGUUAGCUCGCAGAGAACGUGCACCCGUUUUCCCGCCUUCGUGUAACUGCACGCGACUGAUGCAACGUCCAACAUUGCAUAUUCGAAGACUGACGUCGUGAACAGAAGUCAACAUCGUGCCUUUUGCGGCGUUACGUUCGCCUGACUCCGUAGCAACGAACAGUUUCUUCGCCUCGCGGAAAGAAGAUCGAUUAUUAAAAUGGUUAUAAUACGUAGAAGGUUUCUUGCAUCGUGUUCUUCAAAGCGUUGCCUCGCGUUAUUUCAAACGCGACAGUUGUUGCUGCGUCCUCUUCGACACGGAUGACCUAAUUUAAGGGACACACGUUCUGUUACCCAGGUUGCACCAAGUUUCUUGGUGAAAUUUAUAGUUCACGUCUUUCGUCUGCUUGUUUCUUUGGUCUACUUCGAAUACGAAUUAUAAUUUUUAGCAAAUACUGGGAUGUUAAAUCUGAACAUUUGCUCGAGGAUUGAUGGAGAAUCGGAUUAAAAGUAAGUUACAAGUAUUAUUGCGAAUUUGUAUUCUUUCGUGAGAAAUUCGAAGAUACAAAUAUGCACGAUAUGCAAAAAUAUGUAAAAUACUUAAGGUAUUCUAUCUGACAUUAUUUUACACCUUUUUAUUAUAUUACACUUUUUUAAUUGUAUUCAUAAAAAUAUGAAUUCGUAUAAAUACACGCAACCUAGUUACGAGCACGAUUAAACUGCGAAUUUUAUCUAUGAAAUAUGCAAAGAUUAUAUUAGCGAAGUAGUAAUCCCAAAGUGGUUAAAAUAAAAUAUCGAUAAGUAAAUUCGUCGUACGUAACGUGGAUUUGAUCACGUGCAAAAUAACCCUAUUAAAUAAUCCUAGCGUAAAUAUUAGCGAUUAAUCCCGUUCUAUUCACAGUUGUAACACAAAUCUAGAUCCCAUUAUCUAGAUUACAC